UGGGGAAUUUUGGACAAUGGGCGCAAGCCUGAUCCAGCAAUGCCGCGUGCAGGAUGAAGGCCUUCGGGUUGUAAACUGCUUUUGUACGGAGCGAAAAGCCUUGGGCUAAUACCCUAGGGUCAUGACGGUACCGUAAGAAUAAGCACCGGCUAACUACGUGCCAGCAGCCGCGGUAAUACGUAGGGUGCGAGCGUUAAUCGGAAUUACUGGGCGUAAAGCGUGCGCAGGCGGUUAUGUAAGACAGAGGUGAAAUCCCCGGGCUCAACCUGGGAACUGCCUUUGUGACUGCAUAGCUAGAGUACGGCAGAGGGGGAUGGAAUUCCGCGUGUAGCAGUGAAAUGCGUAGAUAUGCGGAGGAACACCGAUGGCGAAGGCAAUCCCCUGGGCCUGUACUGACGCUCAUGCACGAAAGCGUGGGGAGCAAACAGG
Molecule: ribosomal RNA, 429 nt
Filed under: uncultured bacterium
Lineage: Bacteria
Description: bacterial SSU rRNA
Rfam family: Bacterial small subunit ribosomal RNA
Source: RNAcentral